GGGAAAAUGAUAAUUACUGCUACUUUUUGCACCCAGAUUAACCUCUGGACUUUCCCG
Molecule: transfer RNA, 57 nt
Filed under: Batrachomoeus trispinosus (three-spined frogfish)
Lineage: Eukaryota; Metazoa; Chordata; Actinopteri; Batrachoidiformes; Batrachoididae
Description: tRNA-Ser(AGY)
Source: RNAcentral